GGUUUCGAUCAUGGCUCUGAUUGAACGCUGGCGGGAUGCUACACGCCGAUCGGGCGUAGCACGGACUUCGGUCUGGUGGCGAGUGGCGAACGGGUAAGGUAAUGUCGGAACGUGCCUGGUAGCGGGGGAUGCGCCCGCGAAAGCGUGGCUAAUACCACCCUUACACCCUUCGGGGAAAGCGGGGACCUUCGGGCCUCGCACUAUUAGAGCGGCCGAUAUCGGAUUAGCUAGUUGGUGGGAGGUAACGGCUCACCAAGGCGACGAUCCGUAGCUGGUUUGAGAGGACGACCAGCCACACUGGGACUGAGACACGGCCCAGACUCCUGCAGGGUAACAGUGAAAUUUUGGACAAUGGGGGAAACCCUGAUCCAGCCAUCCGCGCGUGUGCGAUGAAGGCCUUCAGGUUUGCCAACACUUUGGCGAAAGAGACAGCUGCGGGAUAAUACCCCGUGCAACUGACAGUACCUGCAGAAUGGCAGCACCGGCCUAACUACAUUUAGACAAGUAUACGUAAGUGCAAGCGUUAAUCCGGAAUUACUGGGCGUAAAGCGUGCGGGCGGUUCGGAGAAGAAGAUGUGAAAUCCCAGAGCUUAACUUUGGAACUGCAUUUUAACUACCGAGCUAGAGUGUGUCAGAGAGUGGAAUUCACGUGUAGCAGUGAAAUGCGUAGAUAUGCGGAGAGACACCGAUAGCGAAGGCAACCUCCUGGGAUAACGCUGACGCUCAUGCACGAAAAGCGUGGGGAGCAAACGGGAUUAGAUACCCUGGUAGUCCACGCUAAACGUCAUCAACCAACUGUUGGACAUUCGGGCCUUAGUAGCGCAGCUAACGCGUGAAGUUGUUCUUACCAGAGAUACGGUCGCAAGAUUAAAACUCAAAAAGAUGGCAGGACCCACGCACGGCGGUGGAUGAUGUGGGUCGAAUUAAUUGCAACGCGAAAAACCUUACCUACCCUUGACAUGUCUGGAAUCCGAAGGGGCGGGAGUGCUCGCAAGAGAACCGGAACACAGGUGCCGCCAGCUGUCGUCAACUCGUUGUCGAUGAGAUGUUGGGUUCCAGUCCCGCAACGAGCGCAACCCUUGUCAUUAGUUGCUACGAAAGGACACUCUAAUGAGACUGCCGGUGACAAACCAGAGGAAGGUGGGAUGACGUCAGAAUCCUCAUGGCCCUUAUGGGUAGGGCUUCACCCACGUCAUACAAUGGUCGGGACAGGGUCGCCAACCCGCGAGAGGCCAAUCCCAGGGAAGCUGAUCGUAGUCGGAUCGCAGUCUGCAACUCGGCUGCGUCAGUCAGAAUCACUAGUAAUCGCGGAUCAGCAUGUCGCGGUGAAUACGUUCCCGGGUCUUGUACACCACCGCCGUGCACCAUGGGAGUGGGUUUUACCCCAGAGAUGAUUAGCCCUAGCAGCAGGAGGGCGAUUACCGAAGUGGAUUACGACUGAGAUAGUCGUAACAAGUAA
This 1459-nucleotide ribosomal RNA is filed under the name uncultured Bordetella sp. RNAcentral describes it as "partial 16S-23S ribosomal RNA intergenic spacer". It matches the Rfam family "Bacterial small subunit ribosomal RNA". The record is from RNAcentral. Lineage: Bacteria; Pseudomonadati; Pseudomonadota; Betaproteobacteria; Burkholderiales; Alcaligenaceae.